UACGUAGGGUGCAAGCGUUUGUCCGGAAUUAUUGGGCGUAAAGAGCUCGUAGGCGGUCUGUCGCGUCGGCUGUGAAAACUUGGGGCUCAACCCCAAGCCUGCAGUCGAUACGGGCAGACUAGAGUGCGGUAGGGGAGACUGGAAUUCCUGGUGUAGCGGUGAAAUGCGCAGAUAUCAGGAGGAACACCAGUGCGAAGGCGG
RNAcentral lists this ribosomal RNA (201 nucleotides) under uncultured bacterium. Its description in RNAcentral is "partial 16S ribosomal RNA". It matches the Rfam family "Bacterial small subunit ribosomal RNA", at positions 524 to 724 of the family's 1533-position model. The record is from RNAcentral.